RNAcentral lists this transfer RNA (72 nucleotides) under Candidatus Daviesbacteria bacterium. Its description in RNAcentral is "tRNA-Pro". It matches the Rfam family "tRNA". Rfam says of the family: Transfer RNA (tRNA) molecules are approximately 80 nucleotides in length. Their secondary structure includes four short double-helical elements and three loops (D, anti-codon, and T loops). Further hydrogen bonds mediate the characteristic L-shaped molecular structure. tRNAs have two regions of fundamental functional importance: the anti-codon, which is responsible for specific mRNA codon recognition, and the 3' end, to which the tRNAs corresponding amino acid is attached (by aminoacyl-tRNA synthetases). tRNAs cope with the degeneracy of the genetic code in two manners: having more than one tRNA (with a specific anti-codon) for a particular amino acid; and 'wobble' base-pairing, i.e. permitting non-standard base-pairing at the 3rd anti-codon position. Lineage: Bacteria; Candidatus Daviesiibacteriota. The record is from RNAcentral.
CGGGGUGUAGUUCAUCGGCAGAACGCCUGUUUUGGGAACAGGAAGCAGGAGGUUCAAUUCCUCUCACCCCGA